Molecule: ribosomal RNA, 817 nt
Filed under: uncultured bacterium
Lineage: Bacteria
Description: bacterial SSU rRNA
Rfam family: Bacterial small subunit ribosomal RNA
Source: RNAcentral
AAUCAACGCUGGCGGCGUGCCUAACACAUGCAAGUCGAGCGAGAAAAGGGGAGCAAUCCCCUGAGUAAAGCGGCGCACGGGUGAGUAACACGUGGGUAAUCUGCCCUAGAGUGGGGAAUAACACCGGGAAACCGGUGCUAAUACCGCAUACGAUCACGAUGUCUGCGGAUGUUGUGAUGAAAGGAGCAAUUCGCUCUGGGAGGAGCCCGCGGCUGAUUAGCUAGUUGGUGAGGUAAUGGCUCACCAAGGCUACGAUCAGUAUCCGGUCUGAGAGGACGGUCGGACACACUGGAACUGAGACACGGUCCAGACUCCUACGGGAGGCAGCAGUGGGGAAUUUUUGGCAAUGGGGGCAACCCUGACCAAGCAACGCCGCGUGGAUGAUGAAGUCUCUUGGGACGUAAAAUCCUUUCGACGGGGACGAAACCGCAAGGUUGACGGUACCCGUANAAGAAGCCCCGGCUAACUCCGUGCCAGCAGCCGCGGUAAUACGGGGGGGGCAAGCGUUGUUCGGAAUUACUGGGCGUAAAGGGCGCGUAGGCGGUUUGCUAAGUUGGAUGUGAAAACUCUGGGCUUAACCCAGAGCCUGCAUCCAAAACUAGCAGGCUAGAGUUCUGGAGGGGAUAGCGGAAUUCCUGGUGUAGCGGUGAAAUGCGUANAUAUCAGGAGGAACACCGGUGGCGAAGGCGGCUAUCUGGACAGAAACUGACGCUGAGGCGCGAAAGCUAGGGGAGCAAACAGGAUUAGAUACCCUGGUAGUCCUAGCCCUAAACGAUGGAUACUUGAUGUGACUGGGAUUGAAUCCAGUCGUGCCGAA